GACGAACGCUGGCGGCGUGCUUAACACAUGCAAGUCGAACGGAAAGGCCUGCUUUCCCUUGUGGAUUGCGGGUACUCGAGUGGCGAACGGGUGAGUAACACGUGAGUGAUCUGCCCCCAACUUGGGUAUAAGCCUGGGAAACUGGGUCUAAUUCCCGAUAGGACUGCAGGGUGGUGCCUGUGGUGGAAAACGAUUUUCUAGUGGUUGGGGAUGAGCUCGCGGCCUAUCAGCUUGUUGGUGGGGUAAUGGCCUACCAAGGCGGCGACGGGUAGCCGGCCUGAGAGGGUGGACGGCCACAUUGGGAAUGAGAUACGGCCCAGACUCCUACGGGAGGCAGCAGUGGGGAAUAUUGCACAAUGGGCGGAAGCCUGAUGCAGCGACGCCGCGUGGGGGAUGACGGCCUUCGGGUUGUAAACUCCUUCCGACCGCGAGGAAGCCACCUGGUUGGAAGGGUGGUGACGGUAGUGGUAGAAGAAGCACCGGCUAACUACGUG
RNAcentral lists this ribosomal RNA (494 nucleotides) under uncultured bacterium. RNAcentral describes it as "partial 16S ribosomal RNA". It matches the Rfam family "Bacterial small subunit ribosomal RNA", at positions 28 to 507 of the family's 1533-position model. The record is from RNAcentral.